This 74-nucleotide transfer RNA is filed under the name Candidatus Omnitrophota bacterium. RNAcentral's name for it is "Candidatus Omnitrophica bacterium tRNA-Trp". It matches the Rfam family "tRNA". Rfam says of the family: Transfer RNA (tRNA) molecules are approximately 80 nucleotides in length. Their secondary structure includes four short double-helical elements and three loops (D, anti-codon, and T loops). Lineage: Bacteria; Pseudomonadati; Candidatus Omnitrophota. The record is from RNAcentral.
AGGUGAGUAGCUCAACUGGCUAGAGCAUCGGACUCCAAAUCCGAAGGUUGCGGGUUCAAGUCCUGCCUCACCUG